GGCGAACGCUGGCGGCGUGCUUAACACAUGCAAGUCGAACGGAAAGGCCCUGCUUGCAGGGUACUCGAGUGGCGAACGGGUGAGUAACACGUGGGUGAUCUGCCCUGCACUUCGGGAUAAGCCUGGGAAACUGGGUCUAAUACCGGAUAGGAGCCAUUUUUAGUGUGAUGGUUGGAAAGUUUUUUCGGUGUAGGAUGAGCUCGCGGCCUAUCAGCUUGUUGGUGGGGUAAUGGCCUACCAAGGCGGCGACGGGUAGCCGGCCUGAGAGGGUGGACGGCCACAUUGGGACUGAGAUACGGCCCAGACUCCUACGGGAGGCAGCAGUGGGGAAUAUUGCACAAUGGGCGCAUGCCUGAUGCAGCGACGCCGCGUGGGGGAUGACGGCCUUCGGGUUGUAAACUCCUUUCGCUAGGGACGAAGCUUUUUGUGACGGUACCUAGAUAAGAAGCACCGGCUAACUACGUG
Molecule: ribosomal RNA, 465 nt
Filed under: uncultured bacterium
Lineage: Bacteria
Description: partial 16S ribosomal RNA
Rfam family: Bacterial small subunit ribosomal RNA
Source: RNAcentral